CCCCGAAUCAAACCCUGAAACCCAAAGUAAACCUAAACUAGCAUCGAUUUGCAAGGAGGAACAAUUCGUAAACCAAACAACCCAAAUCGAAAACCAACAAAACAAUUCGAAAACCCAAAUCGAAUACCAAAAAUGUCACAUCCCGACCCUUAUAUUUUUACCUUAUUUACUAGCGUGAUUAUAAUAAGAAUUUUACCGUCUCAAUCAUUGAAUUAAUUGUUAAUGGGUCCCUAGAGGGGUUUCGGGGACGAUUAUGUGCGGAGGAUUAUUCGUAUGAGGAAAAUACGACGACGGUAAAAAUGGUAAAUUUUAGCUAGUAAAAGGUAAUUUUUAUUCGGGUAUUAUUUUUCGGGGUGUUUUUAUUUUUUUGAGUUGGGUUGAUAAGGGUGGACCGGUUGGGAGGCCCAACCCAUUUCCUCUCUCUCUCUUCUUCUCCCUUUUCUCUUUCUUCUCUCCCCCGUGUUUCCCUCCCGCUGUCCGAUUUUCCGGCCGCCAGACCGCCGCCGUCCGGCCGCCCCAGACCGCCGCACCGGUCUCAAUCGAUCGGUCUCCGACCCAGCUAUCUUCUAGGACCGGUGACAGCCCCCCUAGCGCCGCCGUGAGAGAGCGGUGCCGCUCGAAAGGCUAGGCUGCCCCGAACUUCCGAUCGCCGGAACUCCCUCCUCCGGCCACCAAUCCGGGCAAGCUUGGUACGGUUUUGUAGCCCUCCUCCCGUGCAGCAACCCCUCCAAGUAGCUCCCUCCCUCUUGAGCUAGCUAAGGAGAAAUGUGGAGUUGAAAUUUCUAGGGCUUUUAAGUUGUUUUCGUUCGAUUAGCCUAGUUAGGCUUGGAAUUGGGUGAUGUGUUGGUCAUGAAAGUUGUAGAGGAGAUUGAGAGGAAUAUUCUGUUAAAAUUUGGUAGCAUUUCCAGGUCGCCGGAGUUGGUCGCCGGCCGCCGCUGUUUUGGGAAAUUUUGUGGUUUUUGAUGUAGAAUAUUAAGGGGAUAUUAUUGAGGUGAAUUUUGGAAUUUUUGGAUGAGAUUUGGAUAGGUUUGUGAAUUUCCGAAGUGUGGUAUUUUUGGCAGUUAAUUAAUGUAGAAUCCGGCCGUAGGAUUUAAGUCGUAUUUUGGAGAGGUUGUAUUUACGACUGUUGAGUAUGAUAUUUAAGUUCGGAUCGUUCCGAUUUAAGAAUAUCGAAGUUAGGCAAUGAUGAGCGUAUUUAUGGCUCUCGGGUAAUUUUGCCUAUUUUGAUUAAAUAUUGGAUUAUUCGUUUGGAAAUUAAUAUUAUAUUUGGAACAGGACGUGAGGAGGCUCGAGCAGACGAGGCCCCAGAUCGACAUCAGGCUUAGGCCUAAUUUGUGAGUGGACUUUUAUUUG
This 1353-nucleotide long non-coding RNA is filed under the name Fragaria vesca (wild strawberry). RNAcentral describes it as "long non-coding RNA (FVES_LNC004505)". The record is from RNAcentral. Lineage: Eukaryota; Viridiplantae; Streptophyta; Magnoliopsida; Rosales; Rosaceae.